AUACCCCUAAUUUUUUAGCCUAUUUUUGUCUUUUGUAUAUAUUUUUUAUUUUUUAUUUUAUUAUUAUUGCUUUAUUUAUUUAUUUUUGUUCUUUCUUUUAUUUCCUUUAGUUUUUCUUUUACCUCUUGCAUUGAUAGUGUGCCCCUCCCUUUUAUUAUUUCUUUUAUAUUUUUUAUUGCUUUAUUUAUUUGUUUAUUUUAUUGUAUUUUUAGUUGACGCAUAAUUGUUAAUACAAA
RNAcentral lists this long non-coding RNA (236 nucleotides) under Lathyrus oleraceus (garden pea). Its description in RNAcentral is "Pisum sativum (pea) long non-coding RNA (PSAT_LNC010307)". Lineage: Eukaryota; Viridiplantae; Streptophyta; Magnoliopsida; Fabales; Fabaceae. The record is from RNAcentral.